Molecule: ribosomal RNA, 497 nt
Filed under: uncultured bacterium
Lineage: Bacteria
Description: partial 16S ribosomal RNA
Rfam family: Bacterial small subunit ribosomal RNA
Source: RNAcentral
GAUGAACGCUGGCGGCGUGCCUAAUACAUGCAAGUCGAGCGAACAGACGAGGAGCUUGCUCCUCUGAUGUUAGCGGCGGACGGGUGAGUAACACGUGGAUAACCUACCUAUAAGACUGGGAUAACUUCGGGAAACCGGAUCUAAUACCGGAUAACAUGUUGAACCGCAUGGUUCAACAGUGAAAGACGGUCUUGCUGUCACUUCUAGAUGGAUCCGCGCCGCAUUAGCUAGUUGGUAAGGUAACGGCUUACCAAGGCAACGAUGCGUAGCCGACCUGAGAGGGUGAUAGGCCACCCGGGAGCUGGGACACGGUCCAGACUCCUACGGGAGGCAGCAGUAGGGAAUCUUACGCAAUGGGCGAAAGCCUGACGGAGCAACGCCGCGUGAGUGAAGAAGGUCUUCGGAUCGUAAAAAUCUGUUAUUAGGGAAGAACAAAUGUGUAAGUAACUAUGCACGUCUUGACGGUACCUAAUCAGAAAGCCACGGCUAACUACGUG